Molecule: ribosomal RNA, 372 nt
Filed under: uncultured organism
Description: bacterial SSU rRNA
Rfam family: Bacterial small subunit ribosomal RNA
Source: RNAcentral
CGUAGGGGGCUAGCGUUGUCCGGAAUCAUUGGGCGUAAAGCGCGCGUAGGCGGCCCGGUAAGUCCGUUGUGAAAGUCGAAGGCUCAACCUUCGAAUGCCGAUGGAUACUGCCGGGCUCGAGUCCGGAAGAGGCGAGUGGAAUUCCUGGUGUAGCGGUGGAAUGCGCAGAUAUCAGGAGGAACACCAAUAGCGAAGGCAGCUCGCUGGGACGGUACUGACGCUAAGGCGCGAAAGCGUGGGGAGCGAACAGGAUUAGAUACCCUGGUAGUCCACGCCGUAAACGAUGGGCACUAGGUGUGGGAGGUGUCGACUCCUCCCGUGCCGCCGCUAACGCAUUAAGUGCCCCGCCUGGGGAGUACGGCCGCAAGGCUA